ACUCCUACGGGAGGCAGCAGUAGGGAAUAUUGGUCAAUGGGCGAAAGCCUGAACCAGCCAUGCCGCGUGUCAGAUGAAGGUCCUCUGGAUUGUAAAUGACUUUUCUACGGGAAGAAUGAGCCGUCUGCGGACGGAAGUUGACGGUACCGUAGGAAUAAGCACCGGCUAACUACGUGCCAGCAGCCGCGGUAAUACGUAGGGGUGCAAGCGUUGUCCGGAUUUACUGGGUUUAAAGGGUACGUAGGCGGUUGUGCCAAGUCUGGGGUGAAAGUUUGCAGCUCAACUGUAAAAUUGCCUUGGAUACUGGUCGGCUAGAGUAGUGGAGCGGUGGCUGGAAUUUAUAGUGUAGCGGUGAAAUGCUUAGAUACUAUGAGGAACACCAAUUGCGAAGGCAGGUCACUGGUCACUAACUGACGCUGAGGUACGAAAGUGUGGGGAUCAAA
This 443-nucleotide ribosomal RNA is filed under the name uncultured bacterium. RNAcentral describes it as "bacterial SSU rRNA". It matches the Rfam family "Bacterial small subunit ribosomal RNA", at positions 335 to 772 of the family's 1533-position model. The record is from RNAcentral.